Molecule: transfer RNA, 64 nt
Filed under: Xenopeltis unicolor
Lineage: Eukaryota; Metazoa; Chordata; Lepidosauria; Squamata; Xenopeltidae
Description: tRNA-Tyr
Source: RNAcentral
GGUAGUAUGGCUGAUAUAGCGGUAAACUGUAAAUUUAUUCACAAGGCGUGGCCCUUUGCUACCA